Molecule: transfer RNA, 63 nt
Filed under: Lasioglossum sp. SJW-2017
Lineage: Eukaryota; Metazoa; Arthropoda; Insecta; Hymenoptera; Halictidae
Description: tRNA-Asp
Source: RNAcentral
AAAGAAUUAGUUAAAAUAUAACAUUAAAUUGUCAAUUUAAAAUUAUUAAUAUAAUACUCUUUC